Molecule: ribosomal RNA, 490 nt
Filed under: uncultured bacterium
Lineage: Bacteria
Description: partial 16S ribosomal RNA
Rfam family: Bacterial small subunit ribosomal RNA
Source: RNAcentral
AUUGAACGCUGGCGGCAGGCCUAACACAUGCAAGUCGAACGGUAACAGGGAUCAGCUUGCUGGUUCGCUGACGAGUGGCGGACGGGUGAGUAAUGUCUGGGAAACUGCCUGAUGGAGGGGGAUAACUACUGGAAACGGUAGCUAAUACCGCAUAACGUCGCAAGACCAAAGAGGGGGACCUUCGGGCCUCUUGCCAUCGGAUGUGCCCAGAUGGGAUUAGCUAGUAGGUGGGGUAAUGGCUCACCUAGGCGACGAUCCCUAGCUGGUCUGAGAGGAUGACCAGCCACACUGGAACUGAGACACGGUCCAGACUCCUACGGGAGGCAGCAGUGGGGAAUAUUGCACAAUGGGCGCAAGCCUGAUGCAGCCAUGCCGCGUGUAUGAAGAAGGCCUUCGGGUUGUAAAGUACUUUCAGCGGGGAGGAAGGGAGUAAAGUUAAUACCUUUGCUCAUUGACGUUACCCGCAGAAGAAGCACCGGCUAACUCCGUG